GGAGUCUGGUCCGUGUCUCAGUACCAGUGUGGGGGACCUUCCUCUCAGAACCCCUACUGAUCGUCGCCUUGGUGGGCCGUUACCCCGCCAACAAGCUAAUCAGACGCAUCCCCAUCCUUAACCGACAAAUUCUUUGGUCCGGGUCAGAUGCCCUCGCUGGACCACAUCGGGCAUUAAUCCGGUUUUCACCGGGCUAUUCCCAAGUUAAGGGAAGGUUGGAUACGCGUUACUCACCCGUGCGCCGGUCGCCAUCUAUCAAAGCAAGCUUCGAUAAUGAUGCCCCUCGACUUGCAUGUGUUAAGCCUGUAGCUAGCGUUCAUC
RNAcentral lists this ribosomal RNA (321 nucleotides) under uncultured Prevotella sp. RNAcentral describes it as "partial 16S ribosomal RNA". Lineage: Bacteria; Pseudomonadati; Bacteroidota; Bacteroidia; Bacteroidales; Prevotellaceae. The record is from RNAcentral.